Long non-coding RNA from Ictidomys tridecemlineatus (thirteen-lined ground squirrel), 2812 nucleotides. RefSeq lists it as uncharacterized. Lineage: Eukaryota; Metazoa; Chordata; Mammalia; Rodentia; Sciuridae. The record is from RefSeq and is a predicted model, not a curated record.
CCCGUUUCUUUCAGUUAAUAAAUGUCUGGGCUCCUCUCUCUCGGAAAGGUUGGCGUUCUUCACUUUGGUAAUGUCACGAGAGACACCUGUCCCCAUUCAGGGAGGCAGCAGGGAAGGGGAGCUCUUAGAACCACAGAAAUGAGAGAGCAGAGGAACCAAAGAGGUCAGCACAUCCAUCAGCGUGACACUCGGGCUGCCUUCUGCAGGGACCUUGUCAGGGAUUUGCUCUCCUCUGUUUUGACUCCAGAAAAAAAGAGGGAACAGGACAGACAGAGCUGCUGCGGUUAAGAAGGCAAUACCCUUUGGACAACUGUGGAGCCCAUCUAACUCUCUGAACCUCAGAACCUGUGGACUCUCCAAACCUCGGCUUGUCCCUUCUCCAGCAGCAAGUCCCUUCACCACUUCCCACGCUCACCUCCACACCUCUCAUUACCACCUCAAGCGUGAAGACUCAAGAUUACAGCUUUUCUGCAUGGAGUUCAAAUCCCUCCACAAGCUGGUCUGUGUUGAUGUCUCUCACUCAGAGUCAUGAUGCCGUGGUGCAGAAGGAACAUCGACGGUGCCCUCAGCUCCUGCGCUCUUCCCUGGAGUGUUAACGCCACCUUAUAGGAAUCUUGAUGCCUGUUCCUGGCUGGGGAAAUCGGGAUCAGCUGUGGCAUCCCACUUUUAAGAUGGCCGAUCUAAAGGACACUUAAUUGACAUUUGCCAACAUACCCAAGAAAUGGUUCAACUGAUCUUCUGGGGACAUCACUGAGAAAACUGACCCUGAGGACUAUUCCAUUCAGUCACCGCCUACUUGAGGUUUUCUCAUCACUGUGUCAUUCAAGGACAGUCUCUCUAGCUUGCCUUGGAUAAGAGAGGUACUGACAAGCUCAGUGGUGAUCAAACUUAGCCAUAACACAACAUUAGGCUGGCUUGCCUAAAGCCCUAGGUCCUCAACUCUACAUGGAACUUCUUCACUUUAAUUUAUUUGUUCCUCCUUGGACCCAGCAUCCCACUUCAUGUGCAUAACUACAAGCCAAUUUACUAGCUAGGUUUCUCUGGUAGUACAAUUUGAACGCAAUCUAUCAAGUUUCAGAUGACGUCCCCCAAUACACAUAUAUACAUUAGCUCUUUUCUUUCUUUUUUCUGAUGCUGGUGAUUGUGCCCAGGCUUUAUGCAUAGCAGACAAGCUGAGCCACACCCUAGCCUCGCAUCAGCCUUUUAGCGCUGCACAGGCAUACCCCAGAACCUUUGCCUAUAAAAGCGUUGCUUGCCUAUUUCCUGCCUGCGAUAUUUCUGGCCUAGACUUGGAGUAUAUUCCCACUGCGGUAGUCUCCCUCAGUAACAUUGUUCCUUGCUCAACUCCAGACUCACUUUUUAACUUUUGCUUUACAAGGCAAAAGAUAUCAUUUGGGAUUUGAUUUGGAAAGGGUUAAAAAAAAAUUAAACUUGUAAGAAAAUUUGAUUGCUUAAAUAGGAUAUUAAAUUGCUAAGAAACAAAACUUGGUACCUAUAUAACCCAAAUGACAUUAAAGUAUUUCUAAAAUAGGCACGGUGGCAAUAUCAUUGAAAAAUUAUUAUCUAGUUCUUAUAAUCUAGGGCAUAGUAAAGCCAACACAAAAGACAGGACAUCAUUCCAAAGCACAGAGUGUUCAUUUCUAUUCUGAUUCUUUAGAAGAGAAAGAAAAAUCUUUUACUAGCUCUGACUAAGAGGAUAUCACUAAUCCAAAAAAAAAAAUUGUCAUUUUAAUAGAAAACCAAAUUCUUUUCUUGCAUUGGUACAAUAUUCAAUAUUAAAUGUUUUCUUUUAAAUCUUACAAAUAAUCCCAUUAAAACUUAGCCAACUCUGACUACAAAAACUAGACUCCUCUUUCCCUUAAACUUGGACAACUUUACCUAGUCAAGUGUUUCCAUUGACUUUCCUCUAUGUCAUUCUGGAACAGUCACUCAUUGUACAUUGGAACAGAAUCACUCUUGUUUUCUUUAAAAAAAAAAAUAUAGAACUUAUGUGCCCUCAAAACAGUGCUCCUUUCUGCCACUGUCUCUUUCUAUUACGUGGAAAAAUACAGGAGGGGUUAAAAAGCAAAGCUGUUUGAUGGAUGCCUGCUAAAAUAGCAAGGUAGAUCUUAAUCAACCUAAACUGCCUCAGUGAUAUUUUUGCUAAAAGAGGGCCUAAGACCUUAACAAGAAAAAAGUGGGUUGGGGUGGAAAGUCGGGAGUUCAGUUUAGGAUGUGUGAAGCUUGAGAUGCUUCCAAGGACCUCACUGCCUCAUCCUCCGUGGAGAUGGUGAAUAGGAUGCAGGACACAGGAGCCUAGAGUCCAGGAGCCUUGUCUAGCUAAAGAUGGAAAUUUGGAUGUUGAUAACCUAGAGACAGACUUUAAGCCAUGCACAUAGAGGAAGUACCCCAUGGUAUGAAUGGGACAGACAGGAUGACCAAUGACCAAAGUCUGAGGUUCAGGGAUGCUAAAGGGACAGAACUAGAAUUAAAUGACAGUAUGACAAUGUCAGGCAGUGAAUGCUAUGAGAAGAUGCAAGCAGUUUUGAGUGUAUCAAACUGGCAGCUUCAUUUACAGUCUUGAGUGGGUAUAGAGACAAAGAGGGCUUCCUUGAAGAGGAGACCCUAGGCAAACACCCAAAAACUAAGGAAAACAGGUAAAAAGUAAUAAAAUAAUAAAAAUAUAAAAUAAAACAAAAAAUCAACAACAUAGAUAUCAUGGAUGAGGAAUGAGGAACUUAAUAAAAUAUCAAUAUAAAGAAUGGUCAUAUAGGCUGGGGCUGUAGCUCAGUGGCAGAACUCUUGCCUAGCACAUGUGAGGCACUGGGUUCGA